GAUGGGCAGACGAUAUCUAAAUUGGAUGAAAAUAGAGGAGGAAUCUAUCCAAGACAUAUGGUAUGGACUGGGAUGAUCUACAGGAGUUAAUCCUAAUCGCUUAACCAUGUCGGUGAAAAUACCGUUGAUACAGCUACCACUAUCAAUGAUCACCUUAUAAAUUUUAUCAUCAAAUUUUAUAAAGGUAUAGAAAAUAGAGGUCCUACAUCAGUCUUCACUUUUCUUAGUUUGUG
RNAcentral lists this long non-coding RNA (233 nucleotides) under Elaeis guineensis (African oil palm). RNAcentral describes it as "long non-coding RNA (EGUI_LNC068401)". The record is from RNAcentral. Lineage: Eukaryota; Viridiplantae; Streptophyta; Magnoliopsida; Arecales; Arecaceae.